CCCCUAGAUGUUCUGGGCCGCACGCGCGCUACACUGAACAGUUCAACAAGUCUUAACCUUGGCCGAUAGGUCUGGGUAAUCUUUGAACGCUGUUCGUGAUUGGGAUAGACCUUUGCAAUUAUGGGUCUUCAACGAGGAAUUCCUAGUAAACGCAAGUCAUCAGCUUGCAUUGAUUACGUCCCUGCCCUUUGUACACACCGCCCGUUGCACCUACCGAUUGAAUGGUCCGGUGAAAUCUCGGGACGGCGGCUUGGUCGCUUGCGUCCGACUGCUGAAACUUGAUUAAACCAUAUCAUUUAGAGGAAGGUGAANUCGUAACA
This 320-nucleotide ribosomal RNA is filed under the name uncultured eukaryote. Its description in RNAcentral is "partial 18S ribosomal RNA". It matches the Rfam family "Eukaryotic small subunit ribosomal RNA", at positions 1470 to 1796 of the family's 1831-position model. The record is from RNAcentral.